Parus major (Great Tit) is the source of this 9970-nucleotide long non-coding RNA. RefSeq lists it as uncharacterized. The record is from RefSeq and is a predicted model, not a curated record. Lineage: Eukaryota; Metazoa; Chordata; Aves; Passeriformes; Paridae. The transcript is spliced from 4 exons.
UAAAACAUUACUGCCCACAGAUUACUAUGGGAAUAUUUCCAGUAAUACAAAUUCCAUUUGUGUCUUUCUAUUAAACCAUGUUAUUCCUCAAGUAAAUAAAAAAAAAAAAAAAAAAAAAAAAAAAAAAAAAAAAAAAAAAAAGAGUUUGGGAGUUUGGGUAGGUAGGGUUGUGUGUCACCUGUGAUGAUGCUACCCUGAACUUGUUGUGUUCCUUGUGCUCAUUUGCUCCAUGGGUGGGGAUUGUGCUUUAUUAUAACUAUUUUUGUAAGCUGGAAAAAGAAAUUGGAAUUAGUCAAAAGAUACAUCACAGAAUAAUUGUGAAGUCUUGUUCUAAGGUCAUUUUAAGCCACCAAAUUGGUAACUGAUGAGUCCACCAGAGCUGAGGGUUUGGAAGUUCCAUUGUGUACUUUUGUUGGGUGACUGAGCUGUAUUUCUCUAUUCUGGUUUGCAUACUUUAUUUCUUUAUAACACAAUGGUACGACAGAGCAUAUUGUGUGUUUUUUACAAGAAAAGAGCUUCAGCAAUCUAGAAGAGUGAGAACUUUCCCAUGCUGGCACUGGCAGCGAACUCUUGUUUUGGGGAUCCUCUGCCAAAAUCAACCUCCUUGUACCGAAGCACACUGAACAGAACUUUCAGGACGAGAAUUUUUGUACCAGUGAAUAAACACUUCAAGGGUGUUAAAGGGUAUAAUGGAAGUGUAAAAGUGAUUUCUAAAGAAACUCACUGCAGCCUGGAAACCAUAAAAAAGCCAUAGCAAAGUGGCUCUGGAGUAGAAGUGUGUCAGAGUUUUGACACAAGGGCUUUUUGAUAUGGAGACCGCAUCAACUCAACCUCAAGGCAAAACUUGCCUCUCCACAAUUUCUUAUUGAUGCUGUCCCAUAGUUUGUCCUUCCACUUAGGGGCACAGGAGGGUGACAGGUGGCAAUGCUUUACACUUCUCAACAACCAAAGUGUUUGACUGUAGAUCUCUGUGUGACCUGUUUCUUUUAACCAGCAGUGAAGCCCAACUUUUAACCUAGGUGGAAUAAAAUCAGAAUGAGGUGCCAUGUCUGAUCUUUUUCUGAGGUCUCACAGUAAGACCUCAGCAUGGCCCAUCUUUGAAUACGGCACAUCUGUAAGUAUCUGUAAGAAGCUAAAAAACCUGCUAUCCGAAAUAGCUGAACAUACUGUUUAAAGGUGCUUAUGUGAGUUUUCCAGAAGGCUCUGAUGCAAAUCACUUCCUUCCCAGAAAGGGUGUUCAAAGGAAAGUAUGCAGCAACUUACUUAGAGAUGCAGAGGUAACAGUAAACAUAAGAACAAUCAGAACAAUAAUUAAAAGGGAAUGUAUUUGCUCAGUCAUCUGAUGAAUACACAUAUCUACUGAUGCUCCCAGGCUCCAGCUGUUGAAUGUCACAGAGAGUAACAGCCUGUGGGUGGUUCUUGCCAUGGGAACUAGGUUUAAUGUAAUAUCAUAAAACUCUAGCCAUUCAAAACAAUAAUAAAAAGCCCUAUUGCAGUGGGGGUUUCUGCAUGCUGGGAUGUCUUCUCCAUCCUGGGGUCAGUGUUUGGUGCCACUCCAGCACUGCUGCAGAGAGUACACUUGGCCAGCUCCUUAAAUAAAAAGUAAUCCCUUGUCUUCAGCAAAGCCUCUCUGAUUUAUGCUGAUGAGGGUCUGGCUCUGUGUCCUGUCAGCUCUGUAGAAUUGUUUUCUACCUUCCCUGGAAACAGGUGAAAGAAAUCCCAGCACUGUCAUGCUGGAUGAGUUUUUCACCUGUAAUGGACGGCUUUUGAAAUUGUCCCAAACAAGACAUCUUUUCCUAGGAAAGGAAGUGGCAAAACAAAGCAUCAAGAAUAUUUAAUCUAGCAAUAAAGAAGGUAAUGUAUUGGAAGAGCUGCCUGAUAAAAGCUGCACAGUAGAAGCAAAUAUUUGAGAUUAAAUUAAGGGAGGAAAACAAGGUUAGGGAGAAAUAAUUAACAGUGUGGAUUGAUUACACAUAGCAGUAUGGAGUGUAUGGAGUGAUUACACAUAGCAGUAUCAGCACAUUCAUGAACCAUUGUAAAAUGGCUAUUCAUCAGCUGUCCAUAAUUACUGUAGAGACACACAUGUUAAAUAGUAAAGGAAACCAUUUAAUAAUGGUUCCUUUCAUUUUCAUUGCUUCAUGCUGAUUAGAGAAGCAAACCCUAAUACUUUGUUGCUCCUUUCUGUAUUUUUAGGUGCAUAGUGGAAAGAGCAGAAAAACCCUGGUUUUUUUCUGCAUCACUGCCUUCCUCACUGCUCAUGGGGUAGGGGCCAGGGGAGUAGGUAUGUGGGUUGGGAGUGUUCUGGCAAGAGAAAACAAACUGACGUAUUUCUCUACUGCAAUAUCUUAUUUUAGUCUCCUUUUACUUUUUUUUUAAGCGAUAAAAGCUCACCAUGUGGCGUAUUCUGUAUUAAGCCAGGAUAAAAAUACAGCUCUUGCUCCAAGUUUGUAAUCAUAAAUCCAGGAGGUAGCUCCUUGCAUUUUAGGAGAAAGAUCUCAAUUAUGGCCAUGUAAUAGUUCUGGAGCAAAAAACAAUGUAGUCAAUCUUGUGAUAAUUACUGCUAAUGGGUGCUAAGCACAACAGUUGCAACAGCCUUGUUGUUUCCCACUGGCAAAUUGGGAAAUUGGCAUUUUCUGGACACCAACAAAUACAAGAGGAGUUCAGAAUUCAGAAUUUCAGACUGUCUCCUUAAAAAAAGCUACAGCAAUGCAGGAAGAAAGAAAAAAACCCUUUCAAACAUACAAGUGCUGAAUUCGCCAGGACAGUGGCUGCCUUUCCAGAGGAAAAAGUCGGCUUGCAGCUCUGUGGAUUGACAGUACAAAAUGCUGCCAAAAGCUCUUCACUGAUGAUUUGCUAAGAUUGCUAAGGGUAACUUGCUUCAACAGCAGAUAAAAACUUCAGGAUGGAAACAAGACUCAUCACUUGUCAUCGCUGCUUUCUUACCUUCUGUAGUCCUUUCCUGGGAAGAUUAUGUGACAAGAUGGAAACCACAAAUAUCUGUGUCCUCACAGGAUAGAUUUCUUCUGCUCCAGCUGUUGUUGGUUGAAGGCCAAGUCCUCCCACCUCCUACCCUCCUACCCCUAGUCCCUGGCUGUUUCCUGGCUGCCAGGGCUGAAAAAAGUCCUCUGCCCAAACCCGUAAGUGCUCUGUGCUUUCCAGAAAUGGAACAAACAAUAGGUUUGUGUUGUAAAGGAUAAGCUACCAGGAUGAAGAGGUUUCCAACUGUGGGUGAUGGAACUGUCUACUGGAACAACCCUCAUUUCUUCAACAUGUUAUUUCAUAUUUGCUUCGGGUUCAUGAGCAUCAAAUGAAGGUAAAUCAGAGGGAGUCCUGUGUUACCGACAGAUCCAAAAUGGGAACAGAUAGAGAUUUUUUUUCCUUUUCGGAAUCAAUGAGGAAUGUGUUAAGCAUGAAGUGUAAACUAAAUAUUAUGGCCAUAUUGGAUAACCUGGCCUCUUGCACAGUGAAAUACAGACAUUAAUAUUUGACUUUACCUGGUGUUCAGUCAAAUCUUAAUGCACUCAGUGAAAGCCACUAUUUCUUCCAGAGUAAGGCCCUUUUCAUCCCUAAAAUCCAGUGGAUCAGUGCAGGACUUCUGUCUCCAGGAAAGACAGCCAGACUAGAACUCUGGUCUCUGUAGAUCACAAUGGCUGUGACUUUUGUGAACAACAAUAAACAUUCUCCAUGCUGCUAAGUCAGCUACACAAUGACCUUCCACCUGUCAGGUGGUAGGACAAGCUUAUGCACCUUCACUGUGCUCUGUUACUUUUUGCCAGUUACUUCAGCAAUUUCUUGUAAUUCUCCACUUGCAUUAUUUCUUGCAAUGGUCUGAGCCCCACCUAUGAUGCAGUUGCUAUUUCUGGUGGUGGGCUUACUUUCCUUUUUUCAAAAAAUGUUAUGACAUUUAAGCAUUUAGGUAUUCAGCUGGAGAGUAAGAAUCUAACACACACAUAAAUGUGAAAAUCCUAAAACACAUAAAUUCCUUCCGAUGCUUGAAGAACAGCCUUCACAACCUGCACCACAUGGAAUGAAGACAGCAGGACUUCCUCUCUCCCACACCUACCUCAAAAUUCUUUGGAUCAAACAAUGAGGGGAGGUAAAGAGUGGGCAGAGGGCAGUCAGUGACAGCAUGAAGCAAUGUGUGUAGGUAAAGGCCUCAAGCACUAAGGGUUAAUAUGCAAAGAUAACAAAAAGAUAAUUGUUGGCAAGAAGGCAUAGAAAAGCACAUUUCAUGGGGAAAGAAAACUUGAUUUGCAGAACACUGCAGUGCAUUAUCUGAUAAAAUGGGUAUCAGAAUGACGCAGAUCUGAGAUGGACAGAAUCUGAACCUCCAAAGCUGAAAUUUUAACAAGAAAUCUCUAAUGAGGUGAUGGGGAAGCUAAACAAGUCAAGUGUUCACCACCAUAAAUUGCAUGGGGAAGCUAAAGAAGUCAAGAUUUCACCUCCAUAAAUUGCAGGUGCUUUUUAUUCCUGUAUGAGACAGCUCUGCAAUUCUUUAUUCUGGCUAGAGAUUGAUUGAUACUCGAUUUUGCCUUUGUCUGAGAAUAUUUUCACUUUGCUCUCUGUGACACUAUGACCUUUUGAGUUCAAAUCCUUCACUGACUCAUUAAUACUCAGAAAAGCACCAUGUAUUAAUUAUCAAGCUGUUGUGAAUCAUGACCUUCCUGUGCCCAGUAACUUCCCUCCCAGAAACAUAUGCUCUUUAGGUUCUUCUUUUCAUUAUAAAAAGAACCCUGUGGUCCUGUACAGAUGCUAAACCCCAUGACAGGAGUGAGAUUUCUUUAAAUUCCACUGAGUUUGUAACUUGAUUUUUUGGUAUAGAAUUUAACGCAUUUAAUGCAUACUUAAAUAGAUGCUACUUCAUUAUCCAUUUAACACAUAGCAGUUCAAGUGGUGGCCCUUACAAUGAUUUAUUUCAGGCUGCUGCAGUGAAAGGCCACAGCAGUAAUUUCUGUCAGUGUAAUUCCUACAAAAGUUCCUUUUUCAGCAAGAAAAUUUACCAAUAAACACACAACAGGCUUCACUCUAAAAAUUGCUGAACUUGAUGGAAAACAUCAUUAAAAGAAGGAAUAUUUGAAUCAUGCCUUUAAGGAUGAAAACGGCCUAUACAGUGGCUUGACCUUUCCUCUUCUAUGAUUUGGUGUUGCCAAAGCUCAUCUGCAAUUACUUGCCAGUUUCAUUUCUGGAAAGUUUUAAUACAAGUAAGACAAAGUAUUCAACAGAUGUAAUAAGGGCCAUAAGGCUUCUAAAUUAACUGAGAUGCUCAAUUAACUGAGAUGCUCAUAAAUCAGAAAUGAGAGCUUGCACCCUCCUGUUUUAUAUAUCUAGAUAUGAAUAUCUGUGUGGUUGUACAUACUGAAUUCUUGAUUAUUAAAACCUCAGAAAUACUUUGCCUGGAUCACUCAAAGCACCUUAGUUUUGUGGUAGAAAAAUAGGUAUCUCAUAAGAGCAAGUCUUCAGGCACUGAACUAGGAGAAGAUCAGAGAUUUCCGGGGACUAAUUCCUAUGCACACCAAGGCUCUUUAAAGGACUUGCUGGGUGGAACUUACCAGAGUGACUGUAGGUGUCUGCAGUGUAUUCCUUGGGGCACAUUUUUUUGGGGGUUUUUUUGGUGAGUUUUGAAAACACCAUCAUUCAUGGUAAAGAGAAGGAGGCACUUCCAAGGAAUGGUUUAGGUGAUCUUGUCCUAAGGAGGCUGCUGUUCAGGCACUGCUGUUCAGCCAGUGCCUGAACAGCAGCCUACCUCUACAAACUAUAACUGUAAAGAUAUAGUAGAUUGAGGAAAUAAUAUAUUAUGUCUUCACUGCAGGCAUGUAAAGUUAGGAGGGACAAUGAAGUGAAAUUGCUGUUGAUAGAACCCACAGGAGUAGCCCAUUUUUGUUAAAUGAAGUUAAAUAGGUUCAAUAUUUUAUGUCAAAAUAUAAUGCAGAAAGGAACUUUGCCAUUGCCAAGGGGUGUUUUUGAAGUUAAAGUGAUGCAGAGGAGUAAAAACAUAACCAGAGUAAAGGAACAGGUAUGGCUAUUCAAGUGUGUACUAAAGACAGGAAAGAAAAGCUGAUAGCUGUCACAAAAGUCACAAUGGGCAGAUACAACCCAAAAAGCUCAUUAAAUUGUUGAAAGAACAACACUUUUUGCAGAAAGAAAGGCCAGGUGUUGGACUGCUGUAUGGAAAAUCUGUACAGCUCCUCUCCUUCUGUUGCUGUUUGCUUCCAUCUUGUCAUGUUUGAAAUAUUUCUUCUGCCCUAUAUGGGCUUCCAGAAUUCUUUUGUCUCAAAUAACCUGAACUACCCAACACACUCAGGAAUUCAUGGUGCAUCUCUAAUACGUGUUCUUGCAUGAAAAACCUGAAAGCCAAGUACCUGUUUCAGGUCCCCUUUGCCACUAAAAAACUCCAGUCUCUGGGGAGAUCCUGCAGAAUCAUUUGCCACAAGUUGUUUUGCAGAGUAAAAUGGUUUUUUUUCCUAGGACUUACGCAUGGCUGUACCUAAAAGUAAAUUAUAUAUAACUGAGCAACCUGCUGGAGCGUAUCCCUGCCCAUGAAGGGAUGGGUGGAACCAGGUGGUUUUUAACAUCUCCUUCAACCCAAACCAUUCUGUGAUUCUGUGGUCAGAACAUGCCCAAAGCAGGCUCCUGGUCUGCAUGCCUGGAGGAUGAAUAUCUGAACCUUGGAAAGAACUCGGCUCUGGUUGAGUACCUGGGCUGCCAGGCACCCUGACAAAGAGUAACCCUGACAAAGAGUAACAUUUUGUGCAACCUAAGAGGUGACAUCAGAAGAAAAAUGAAAUGAGCCUCUGUGAUUCAGAUGAGAGCAGGGAUAAAAGUAGAUGAUAUGAAUACAAUAUUUUUACUCUAUCUCCUCUGUCUGUGGACAAGCUUUUAAACUUCUUUGCCAUAUAUUGUAGAGAGCUUCUUAAGAGUGAUUUAGAACAUGGAUGCAUGUUCCAUCUGGGCAGCCAGCACAUUCAUCCUGUAGCUACCCCCUUGUCGCUAAACAGGAGGCUGAACAUUCUCCAGUGGACACAAAUGCUGUAUUUGUCAGUUUCCACUGGCAAGAGAUGAUGUCUAAAACCUGUACAGUUGGAAAAUGAGGGGGGAGGGGCAUCUCUGGCACAAAACUGCCUGUUUGUCUAGAGGAAUUAGCUUUUAAGGUGGCAGGACAUUGCUUCAAGAUCUCUACAACCUACUGGCUCCUAUUGUACAUCCUUGGAAAGGGGGCAGCCACCUUGGAUGGACACUGCAGAAGUGUGGCUUUAGUGACCUGCCCUGGUUAAGAGUUUUACACAGAAAAUACAUAGCAAAUUCCUCAAAUUCAAGACAUAGUCCAGUAAAUUAAUUCUCCUCCCUCCCCACUGCUUUACUUCUGCUCUGGUUCCUGUCUCGCUGGCUGCUCCUCCUUUCAGCAGCUUGAUGAUAUUUCUAUAUUCUCUUCUAUAUCAUUAAUGCAUUUAAAGGUCCAACUGAGAUAGCUCUAAUUCUGUCCUUCCUGACUGUUCACAACCUCAGACGGGAUUUGCCAUUUAUGGCUGACAGCCUGAAGAAAUUACAUGUCUUACAUCACCUCGAAAAGGCUGCUCCUCUAUUUUGGGCUUUAUUUUUAAAAUAAAUUUCAAAAGCACAGUACAAAGGGCACAUGCACACUGAAAGCAGCAGAAGGAUGUUUAGAAGCAUAUUUAAAUUAAAAAGGUUAUUUCUCCCUCCUCCUCCCUUCUUUUUGAAAUCAGUCUCCACCACUAAAAAGAAAGAGGUAAACAUAUCUGGGAAGAAACACCCAAGCAUAAAAUCUUUUAGUCACAUAAAAAAUGCUUUUAUUAACUAAAUAAAAUGUGGUGCCUAUAAAUGUGUGACCUGUUGUGACCCAAACAUUUCCUAAACCGAAGCUUUAACUCUUAGAGAGAACUUUGAAUAGCCACAGCUCAGGCCCUGUGUGAGCAAAGGUUAAACCAUUGCCAUUUUCUAUUACAACUACUCUUUCAGACUAAGAUUUUGGAGGCAAAUGCAUGAAUGACAUACACAAAAUUAUUCUGCAGCGCAUAUAAUGGCAGGCAGUCUCUUUCGUAAAAUCUGAGUUGUCUUAUUCCCACAAUGGGAACUGGUAACUACUCAGAGGCUUAGAUUUAUUCCAUGAAGCAGGGAAGUGCUUUUUUAGGAAAGGAUAGUAAUCCCACUGAUGUAAUGGAAUCACUGAGGUUACUAACCAGCAGUGAUCAGUGUUUCUGUUCUGGACCAAGAUCUGUGUUUGCAGCACCUGACAUGCUUCAAUGUUCUGCACUAAGCUUCAACAGCACAGCUUCAGAACAAUUUAAUUUUCCUUGGAGCUGUAGGAAUUUCCCAAUACCUGUUUUAAAAACUCCCAAUGUGGUCACAUUAAUAAUGCUGAAAAUUAAGAUGUAAUCUGAUAGAAUUUGAUUUGAUUGAUGAGGAGAUGCCCAUGCAAAGAGUAGAGGGCUAACCUCAUUUUUGAGUCAACAUUGUGGCUUCACACAAGAGUGUAAGAGAUAUAAGGGAUAUCCCUGGAGCUGGGGAAAUUCAGCUGAACGCUCUCAUCUGCUUCUUCAGAAUGCUUUGAAGAAAUCACAUAUAAUGGACUUUUGUGCCUUAUAUUGAUGAAGAUGUUAAUGUAAUAUUUAUGAUACUUUUUGCUUGGAGGGGAAUGGCAGAUUAUUAGAAGUGAUUUGCUUUAAGCCAUAAAUCAAUUUUAGAGCGCCUAAGGUCAGCCACAAAACUGUUGUUCUUUGUUUAUAACAUUUUUGGUAGAAACCAUCUAGUUAACAUUGCAGGAAGUGAGUAAGGCACUGCACUCGCAAAGUCAAAACUGUCUGGUCAUUAGCCUGCCUGCAAGGUUUCACUAAUGUAACAGAUGGAGCCUGGCCUUUGCUGUCUGGAGGGACAUAUGUAACAUUUAUUCAGAUAGUUCACAAAAGCAAGAUGUAUGCCCUGUUUUCAUGUUAUUAAAAUUACUUUUUUACAGUGGCACAAUAAUCUAUCAGUUCAGUCCCUUGAGACAAAUACAUGGUGGAUGGUUUCUGUAUCAGCAGUUAGGUCAUGAGUACAAAACUGUGGGCAAUACAAUCACACCUUCACUGCAGAAAGUGCCGCAUGAGCAAGGGACUGUUGCUGAUGCCAUUGUUUCCCCUGGAGUGACUGUCUGGUGCAGAGGAUGCUCUGGUGUCAGCUGCAGCUACCUAUUGUCUCUGCAAGCCAUUCUGCCCGGAUCACUACUUAGUGGCAAAUAAAUUAAGAGUAGUCUUAUAAAAGGGCUGGACUUAAAUUUCCUGUGGGAAGGGGGAGAGAGCAGGUGGAGGAAAUUCUGGGAAGUCUGAGCUCUUUGCAGAUGGGUUGUCUACAAUACCGCUCAUCUCCUCCCAUGAUGGCUCCCCAGCAGAAACAACACUGCAAAUCAAACGCCUGACUACUUGUAAAGUGAAUUCCACUGUUUUGAAGCAUAAGGCAGGAUUUUUCAAAAUAUUUCAGUUCUGCUGUGUUUUAUUUAGCUUUCAUGGGGAAUUUUGCCAGCAGUGUCUUUGCCAGCAAUGUUAUGACCAGUGAAAUACUUGAAAAAUCCUACCUGAAGAGGACCAAUGUUUUUGUCUUAUUCUGUGCAGUUGUUUUGUUUGACUAGAUGUCAGGAUGAUCUGAAUCAUCCAACUGAGUUAAAUAACUCCUGUCAAAGGGACCUUGGAACUGAACUCAAACCCUUAAUCUGCAUGUAGAACUACUAUUCUUCUCUGCAUUGGAGAACACCAGAAUACUUCACAUUUCUCCUCACCUUCAAUCUUUUAAAUCCUUCCCCCUGCACUCUUAAGGGCGUUUAAAGGUCCUAUCUCACUGAACUUUCUUCCUGAAAUGCCACCAGGUUGUAAGUAAUUGCAACCACUGUUUUCCACAAAGAUCACUUUCUGAUUUUGUUAGAAGCCAUAAAUUAAGCAGCAGUGAAUUCUGAGUGAAGAAAGGCUGAGUUAAUAACAACAGA